AUUGAACGCUAGCGGCAGGCCUAACACAUGCAAGUCGAACGAGUGGCGGACGGGUGAGUAAUGUCUGGGAAACUGCCCGAUGGAGGGGGAUAACUACUGGAAACGGUAGCUAAUACCGCAUACCAUCGGAUGUGCCCAUGUGGGAUUAGCUAGUUGGUGGGGUAAUGGCUCACCUAGGCGACGAUCCCUAGCGGGUCUGAGAGGAAGCCCAGCCACACUGGAACUGAGACACGGUCCAGACUCCUACGGGAGGCAGCAGGGGGGAAUAUUGCACAAGGGGCGAAAGCCUGAUGCAGCCAUGCCGCGUGUAUGAAGAAGGCCUUCGGGUUGUAAAGUACUUUCAGCGAGGAGGCGUUACUCGCAGAAGAAGCACCGGCUAACUCCGUGCCAGCAGCCGCGGUAAUAC
RNAcentral lists this ribosomal RNA (406 nucleotides) under uncultured bacterium. RNAcentral describes it as "partial 16S ribosomal RNA". It matches the Rfam family "Bacterial small subunit ribosomal RNA", at positions 30 to 526 of the family's 1533-position model. The record is from RNAcentral.